UUGGAGGGCAAGUCUGGUGCCAGCAGCCGCGGUAAUUCCAGCUCCAAUAGCGUAUAUUAAAGUUGUUGCAGUUAAAAAGCUCGUAGUUGAAUUUCGGGGUCAGUAGGUUGGUCAUGCCACAGGUAUGUACUGGUCUCACUGAUUCCUCCUUCCUGAUGAACUGUAAUGCCAUUAAUUUGGUGUUGCAGGGAAUCUGGACUGUUACUUUGAAAAAAUUAGAGUGUUUAAAGCAGGCUAACGCCUGAAUACAUUAGCAUGGAAUAAUGAAAUAGGACGUUCGAUCCUAUUUUGUUGGUUUCUAGGAUUGACGUAAUGAUUAAUAGGGAUAGUUGGGGGCAUUAGUAUUCAAUUGUCAGAGGUGAAGUUCUUGGAUUUAUUGAAGACUAACUACUGCGAAAGCAUUUGCCAAGGAUGUUUUCAUUAAUCAAGAACGAAAGUUAGGGGAUCGAAGACGAUCAGAUACCGUCGUAGUCUUAACCAUAAACUAUGCCGACUAGGGAUCGGAUGAUGUUAAUUUUUUAAUGACUCAUUCGGCGCCUUACGGGAAAC
This 549-nucleotide ribosomal RNA is filed under the name uncultured Rhizophagus. RNAcentral describes it as "SSU rRNA". It matches the Rfam family "Eukaryotic small subunit ribosomal RNA", at positions 548 to 1098 of the family's 1831-position model. Lineage: Eukaryota; Fungi; Glomeromycota; Glomeromycetes; Glomerales; Glomeraceae. The record is from RNAcentral.